CGAAAGCCUGACGGAGCAACGCCGCGUGAGGGAUGAAGGCCUCUGGGCUGUAAACCUCUUUUCUCAAGGAAGAAGAUCUGACGGUACUUGAGGAAUAAGCCACGGCUAAUUCCGUGCCAGCAGCCGCGGUAAUACGGGAGUGGCAAGCGUUAUCCGGAAUUAUUGGGCGUAAAGCGUCCGCAGGCGGCCGUACAAGUCUGUCGUUAAAGCGUGGAGCUUAACUCCAUUUAAGCGAUGGAAACUGUAAGGCUUGAGUGUGGUAGGGGCAGAGGGAAUUCCCGGUGUAGCGGUGAAAUGCGUAGAUAUCGGGAAGAACACCAGUGGCGAAGGCGCUCUGCUGGGCCAUAACUGACGCUCAUGGACGAAAGCCAGGGGAGCG
This 379-nucleotide ribosomal RNA is filed under the name uncultured cyanobacterium. Its description in RNAcentral is "bacterial SSU rRNA". It matches the Rfam family "Bacterial small subunit ribosomal RNA", at positions 376 to 770 of the family's 1533-position model. The record is from RNAcentral. Lineage: Bacteria; Bacillati; Cyanobacteriota.